AACUACAGCCAUGCCACCCUUAACAAGCCCGAUUCCGUCUGAUCUCGGAAGCUAAGCAGGGUCGGGCCUGGUUAGUACUUGGAUGGGAGACCACCUAGGAAGACCAGGUGCUCUAGGCA
Molecule: ribosomal RNA, 119 nt
Filed under: Pteropus alecto (black flying fox)
Lineage: Eukaryota; Metazoa; Chordata; Mammalia; Chiroptera; Pteropodidae
Source: RNAcentral